GACGAACGCUGGCGGCGUGCUUAACACAUGCAAGUCGAACGGAAAGGCCAUGCUUUUGUGGGGUGCACGAGUGGCGAACGGGUGAGUAUCGCGUGUGUAACCUGCCCUUGACUUUCGGAUAACUUCAGGAAACUGGGGCUAAUACCGGAUAGGAGCUCCUGCAGCAUGGUGGGUGUCGGAAAGUUUCGGCGGUUGGGGAUGGACUCGAGGCUUAUCAGCUUGGUGGGGGAGUAGUGGCUUACCAAGGCUUUGACGGGUAGCCUGCCUGAGAGGGUGAACAGCUGCCAUGAGACUGAGAUACGGCCCAGAAUCCUACGGGAGGCACCAGUGGGGAAUCUUGCAAAGUAGGCUGAAGCCUGACGCAACAACGUCGCGUGCGGGAAGACGGCCUACGGGUUGUAAACCUCUUUCGACUGUGACGAACAGUGAGUGACGGUAAUGGAUAAAGAAGCCCCGGCUAACUACGUG
This 468-nucleotide ribosomal RNA is filed under the name uncultured bacterium. RNAcentral's name for it is "partial 16S ribosomal RNA". It matches the Rfam family "Bacterial small subunit ribosomal RNA", at positions 28 to 507 of the family's 1533-position model. The record is from RNAcentral.